This 434-nucleotide ribosomal RNA is filed under the name uncultured bacterium. Its description in RNAcentral is "partial 16S ribosomal RNA". It matches the Rfam family "Bacterial small subunit ribosomal RNA", at positions 29 to 507 of the family's 1533-position model. The record is from RNAcentral.
AGCGAACGCUGGCGGCAGGCCUAACACAUGCAAGUCGAACGAACCUUUCGGGGUUAGUGGCGGACGGGUGAGUAACACGUGGGAACGUGCCUUUAGGUUCGGAAUAACUCAGGGAAACUUGUGCUAAUACCGAAUGUGCCCUUCGGGGGAAAGAUUUAUCGCCUUUAGAGCGGCCCGCGUCUGAUUAGCUAGUUGGUUGAGGUAAUGGCUCACCAAGGCGACGAUCAGUAGCUGGUCUGAGAGGAUGAUCAGCCACAUUGGGACUGAGACACGGCCCGAACUCCUACGGGAGGCAGCAGUGGGGAAUCUUGCGCAAUGGGCGAAAGCCUGACGCAGCCAUGCCGCGUGAAUGAUGAAGGUCUUAGGAUUGUAAAAUUCUUUCACCGGGGACGAUAAUGACGGUACCCGGAGAAGAAGCCCCGGCUAACUUCGUG